CUUUCAUCAAGAGCUGGCUGAGGGACUGGCCCGAUGACGCCGCGGCAACCAUCGCAUCUUUGGGUGCGAAACGGUGCCAAUUCCUGCAGAACGGAUAAGUUCUGACAGAUGAGGG
RNAcentral lists this non-coding RNA (115 nucleotides) under Thermosinus carboxydivorans. RNAcentral describes it as "SAM-I sequence". It matches the Rfam family "SAM riboswitch aptamer (S box leader)". Rfam says of the family: The SAM riboswitch is found upstream of a number of genes which code for proteins involved in methionine or cysteine biosynthesis in Gram-positive bacteria. The record is from RNAcentral. RNAcentral also lists the same sequence under 1 other name. Lineage: Bacteria; Bacillati; Bacillota; Negativicutes; Selenomonadales; Sporomusaceae.